RNAcentral lists this long non-coding RNA (391 nucleotides) under Salvia miltiorrhiza (redroot sage). Its description in RNAcentral is "long non-coding RNA (SMIL_LNC004223)". The record is from RNAcentral. Lineage: Eukaryota; Viridiplantae; Streptophyta; Magnoliopsida; Lamiales; Lamiaceae.
CAUCAGGAAGCAUAAAAUGCAGAGUAUCGCAGCAAAAGGCGAACCGAUUAUAUGUAUGGAGACACAUAACCGUGAGUAUAUUGCUUGAUUCAAGAAAAACAUUGUAACAUUUCACUAAGGUUUUAUCAACAUCCUUAAGACUUUAACAUCAAAGGAAAACAAUCAAGGAAAACUUCAUCGGUGAAACCAUCCCCACCAGCACCAGUCCAAUCUCGCUCCGUUGCUUAGCCUGCACAUUUAGAAAUAUAUGCAGGGCGUGAGUAAUAAUACUCAGUGGGCAAACGCCGGAAAACAUCAAAGGCGCUCUUAGAGCUAUAUGUUUGAAGCUUGCCACAACAUCAGCAAUACACAGAAAUAAGCUUAGCAUCAAAGAAUCUGUGCAUGCAGUUUU